GAUGAACGCUAGCGAUAGGCUUAACACAUGCAAGUCGAGGGGCAGCGAGGGUAGCAAUACCUGUCGGCGACCGGCGCACGGGUGAGUAACGCGUAUGUAACCUGCCCGCAACAGGGGGAUAACCCGGCGAAAGUCGGACUAAUACCGCAUAAAACAGGGGUCCCGCAUGGGAAUAUUUGUUAAAGAUUUAUCGGUUGCGGAUGGGCAUGCGUACCAUUAGGUAGUUGGUGAGGUAACGGCUCACCAAGCCUUCGAUGGUUAGGGGUUCUGAGAGGAAGGUCCCCCACACUGGUACUGAGACACGGACCAGACGCCUACGGGAGGCAGCAGUGAGGAAUAUUGGUCAAUGGGCGAGAGCCUGAACCAGCCAAGUCGCGUGAAGGAUGACUGCCCUAUGGGUUGUAAACUUCUUUUACAAGGGAAUAAAAUGAGAUACGUGUAUUUUAUUGCAUGUACCUUGGGAAUAAGCAUCGGCUAACUCCGUG
RNAcentral lists this ribosomal RNA (485 nucleotides) under uncultured bacterium. RNAcentral's name for it is "partial 16S ribosomal RNA". It matches the Rfam family "Bacterial small subunit ribosomal RNA", at positions 28 to 507 of the family's 1533-position model. The record is from RNAcentral.